CUACGGGCCGCUGCAGUGGGGAAUUUUGCGCAAUGGGCGAAAGCCUGACGCAGCAAUACCGCGUGAGUGAAGAAGGCCUUUGGGUCGUAAAGCUCUUUUCUGAAGGAAGAUAGUGACGGUACUUCAGGAAUAAGCACCGGCUAACUCCGUGCCAGCAGCCGCGGUAAUACGGAGGGUGCAAGCGUUGUUCGGAUUUACUGGGCGUAAAGGGCGCGUAGGCGGCAUAGCAAGUUAAGGGUGAAAUCCCGGGGCUUAACUCCGGAACUGCUCUUAAAACUGCUAAGCUAGAGAUAGUCAGAGGCGGGUGGAAUUCCUAGUGUAGAGGUGAAAUUCGUAGAUAUUAGGAGGAACACCGGUGGCGAAGGCGGCCCGCUGGGGCUUAUCUGACGCUAAGGCGCGAAAGCGUGGGGAGCAAACGGGAUUAGAUACCCUAGUAGUC
RNAcentral lists this ribosomal RNA (439 nucleotides) under uncultured bacterium. RNAcentral describes it as "partial 16S ribosomal RNA". It matches the Rfam family "Bacterial small subunit ribosomal RNA", at positions 339 to 795 of the family's 1533-position model. The record is from RNAcentral.